Non-coding RNA from Thamnophis sirtalis, 954 nucleotides. Lineage: Eukaryota; Metazoa; Chordata; Lepidosauria; Squamata; Natricidae. The record is from RefSeq and is a predicted model, not a curated record.
GCAGCGGCUGUUUGAGUUGCCUGUUGAUUCCCCUGGCACUGUGGAGUAUUGUUAUAAAUAUUCUCCUAUAUUUUCCUGAUGGGAAAUCUUCAUAUGCUUCCAGCAAUAAUCACACCAACUAUGUGUGGCAUUUUGAAGGAAUCUGUUUCUCAGGUAUUAUGAUUCUUAUUCUAGCAGCACUUCUAGUAAUUCUGGACCGGGAUACCUUUUUUGAAUGCUUCCAAAGUGAAAGCUGCACCAGAACAUAUAGAUCUGUGAUGGAGAUUAAAAAAAAGAGACAGAGACCCUUUGUUUGUUAUCUCUACAGCAAAUCUGCAAAGCUGAACAAACAAGAACAGGAAAAAUAGCUGGUCCCCAUUCUGAAAUAGAUGGACUAGUAUCAACAGACAUAACUUUAGAAUUGUUGCCAACUGUUAUUCCCUAAACUUCCGUCUCUCUGUUAAGAACUGUUCUGCAAUCUCAUGGUCUCCAAGUCUGUUGGAACAAUUAUAUUAGUGAAGAUGAACAUAAUGUGCACUACAGUAUUGAGGGGAAAGCAAUACAAAGAUAAUUGGCCUAUCAUCCUGCUUUAAAUGAAUAAUUAAUAUUUUCCUUAAUUACACAUCUUGGCUCAGGCUUAGCAGUGCAAGUCCCUAAAACUAUUGCCACAACAAUCAUACUGUCUUCCUCCCAAUAAGCAUGGCAUAACAGUGCCCUUUCUGUCAUCUUCAGUCACAUGAAGAGCCUAACUCUAUGAGAUCAUCAUGGUCUUGGAGAAUUUAAGGAUCAGUUUGGUGUUUUAUGAGAUGUCACAUUAAAAAUAAGACCAUCUUAUUUAUAUGGAGUGAUGCAUUUGCUUGAUGACAUACACAGUAAGUGGGAAAAAUAAUACAGGUAGUCCUUGGGUUAGAGCAGUUCAUUUAGUGACUCUUAAACUGGCACUGAAAAAAAUGAUAUGAUGAUUUUCCACAUUAU